RNAcentral lists this ribosomal RNA (468 nucleotides) under uncultured bacterium. RNAcentral describes it as "partial 16S ribosomal RNA". It matches the Rfam family "Bacterial small subunit ribosomal RNA", at positions 28 to 507 of the family's 1533-position model. The record is from RNAcentral.
GACGAACGCUGGCGGCGUGCUUAACACAUGCAAGUCGAACGGAAAGGCCCUGCUUUUGUGGGGUGCUCGAGUGGCGAACGGGUGAGUAACACGUGUGUAACCUGCCCUUGACUUUGGGAUAACUUCAGGAAACUGGGGCUAAUACCGGAUAGGAGCUCCUGCUGCAUGGUGGGGGUUGGAAAGUUUCGGCGGUAGGGUAUGGACUCGCGGCUUAUCCGCUUGUUGGUGGGGUAGUGGCUUACCAAGGCUUUGACGGGUAGCCGGCCUGAGAGGGUGACCGGCCACAUUGGGACUGAGAGACGGCGCAGACUCGUACGGUAGGCAGCAGUGGGGAAUAUUGCACAAUGGGGGGAAGGCUGAUGCAGCAACGCCGCGUGCGGGAUGACGGCCUUCGGGUUGUAAACCGCUUUCGCGUGUGACGGAGCGUGAGUGACGGUAAUGGGUAAAGAAGCACCGGCUAAAUACGUG